GUGUUUGAUUCUGGCUCAGAUUGAACGCUGGCGGCAGGCCUAACACAUGCAAGUCGAGCGGUAGCACAGAGAGCUUGCUCUCGGGUGACGAGCGGCGGACGGGUGAGUAAUGUCUGGGAAACUGCCUGAUGGAGGGGGAUAACUACUGGAAACGGUAGCUAAUACCGCAUAACGUCGCAAGACCAAAGUGGGGGACCUUCGGGCCUCAUGCCAUCAGAUGUGCCCAGAUGGGAUUAGCUAGUAGGUGGGGUAACGGCUCACCUAGGCGACGAUCCCUAGCUGGUCUGAGAGGAUGACCAGCCACACUGGAACUGAGACACGGUCCAGACUCCUACGGGAGGCAGCAGUGGGGAAUAUUGCACAAUGGGCGCAAGCCUGAUGCAGCCAUGCCGCGUGUGUGAAGAAGGCCUUCGGGUUGUAAAGCACUUUCAGCGGGGAGGAAGGCGAUAAGGUUAAUAACCUUGUCGAUUGACGUUACCCGCAGAAGAAGCACCGGCUAACUCCGUGCCAGCAGCCGCGGUAAUACGGAGGGUGCAAGCGUUAAUCGGAAUUACUGGGCGUAAAGCGCACGCAGGCGGUCUGUCAAGUCGGAUGUGAAAUCCCCGGGCUCAACCUGGGAACUGCAUUCGAAACUGGCAGGCUAGAGUCUUGUAGAGGGGGGUAGAAUUCCAGGUGUAGCGGUGAAAUGCGUAGAGAUCUGGAGGAAUACCGGUGGCGAAGGCGGCCCCCUGGACAAAGACUGACGCUCAGGUGCGAAAGCGUGGGGAGCAAACAGGAUUAGAUACCCUGGUAGUCCACGCCGUAAACGAUGUCGAUUUGGAGGUUGUGCCCUUGAGGCGUGGCUUCCGGAGCUAACGCGUUAAAUCGACCGCCUGGGGAGUACGGCCGCAAGGUUAAAACUCAAAUGAAUUGACGGGGGCCCGCACAAGCGGUGGAGCAUGUGGUUUAAUUCGAUGCAACGCGAAGAACCUUACCUGGUCUUGACAUCCACAGAACUUASCAGAGAUGCUUUGGUGCCUUCGGGAACUGUGAGACAGGUGCUGCAUGGCUGUCGUCAGCUCGUGUUGUGAAAUGUUGGGUUAAGUCCCGCAACGAGCGCAACCCUUAUCCUUUGUUGCCAGCGGUUAGGCCGGGAACUCAAAGGAGACUGCCAGUGAUAAACUGGAGGAAGGUGGGGAUGACGUCAAGUCAUCAUGGCCCUUACGACCAGGGCUACACACGUGCUACAAUGGCAUAUACAAAGAGAAGCGACCUCGCGAGAGCAAGCGGACCUCAUAAAGUAUGUCGUAGUCCGGAUUGGAGUCUGCAACUCGACUCCAUGAAGUCGGAAUCGCUAGUAAUCGUAGAUCAGAAUGCUACGGUGAAUACGUUCCCGGGCCUUGUACACACCGCCCGUCACACCAUGGGAGUGGGUUGCAAAAGAAGUAGGUAGCUUAACCUUCGGGAGGGCGCUUACCACUUUGUGAUUCAUGACUGGGGUGAAGUCGUACAGG
This 1493-nucleotide ribosomal RNA is filed under the name Klebsiella pneumoniae. RNAcentral's name for it is "bacterial SSU rRNA". It matches the Rfam family "Bacterial small subunit ribosomal RNA". Lineage: Bacteria; Pseudomonadati; Pseudomonadota; Gammaproteobacteria; Enterobacterales; Enterobacteriaceae. The record is from RNAcentral.